RNAcentral lists this ribosomal RNA (356 nucleotides) under uncultured bacterium. RNAcentral describes it as "bacterial SSU rRNA". It matches the Rfam family "Bacterial small subunit ribosomal RNA", at positions 527 to 881 of the family's 1533-position model. The record is from RNAcentral.
GAAGGGUGCAAGCGUUACUCGGAAUUACUGGGCGUAAAGCGUGCGUAGGUGGUCGUUUAAGUCCGUUGUGAAAGCCCUGGGCUCAACCUGGGAACUGCAGUGGAUACUGGGCGACUAGAGUGUGGUAGAGGGUAGCGGAAUUCCUGGUGUAGCAGUGAAAUGCGUAGAGAUCAGGAGGAACAUCCAUGGCGAAGGCAGCUACCUGGACCAACACUGACACUGAGGCACGAAAACGUGGGGAGCAAACAGGAUUAGAUACCCUGGUAGUCCACGCCCUAAACGAUGCGAACUGGAUGUUGGGUGCAACUUGGCACGCAGUAUCGAAGCUAACGCGUUAAGUUCGCCGCCUGGGGAGU